AGAGGAUGAACAGCCACAAUGGGAUUGAGAUACGGCCCAUAUUCCUACGGGAAGCAGCAGUAGGGAAUCUUCCACAAUGGACGAAAGUCUGAUGGAGCAAUACCAUGUGAACGAUGAGUUUUUGAUUGUAAAGUUCUUUUAUGAGGGAUAACAACUGAUAGU
RNAcentral lists this ribosomal RNA (162 nucleotides) under uncultured Mycoplasma sp. RNAcentral describes it as "partial 16S ribosomal RNA". It matches the Rfam family "Bacterial small subunit ribosomal RNA", at positions 295 to 476 of the family's 1533-position model. Lineage: Bacteria; Bacillati; Mycoplasmatota; Mollicutes; Mycoplasmatales; Mycoplasmataceae. The record is from RNAcentral.